Molecule: long non-coding RNA, 369 nt
Organism: Myotis brandtii (Brandt's bat)
Lineage: Eukaryota; Metazoa; Chordata; Mammalia; Chiroptera; Vespertilionidae
Exons: 3
Source: RefSeq, a predicted model, not a curated record
AAACCUUUUCUGGAAGAAUAAGUGCCUACUUUGCUUCUGAUUGGGUCAGUGGGAAAUGGAAUAUUUGGCAGUGAACUGUCACACAGGAUUAAAGGCAAGAAACAAAGAGAAAAGACAAAAGUGUCUGCUUUUGAACAAGACUUUGAGAGAGCCCUUUGGGUAAAGGACUGUUGGCAGAGAUGCUGACAAUCUUGUGCAAGAACAGCAGACAGUCUCCUUCAGGCAGCAGAUACCCAACUGGAGCGAGGGGCAUGGAAAGGAGAACAUGACAGCAGGAAGACUUGGCCCUGGAGGCCACAAAAGGUACAUCAUGAGAAGGCAGGGUUCUUUGCAAGAGAUAAUAAUGGUGGGAAAAACAGAAGGCUGCAG